UACGUAGGGGGCAAGCGUUGUCCGGAAUCAUUGGGCGUAAAGCGCGCGUAGGCGGCCCGGUAAGUCCGCUCUGAAAGUCCAAGGCUCAACCCUGGAAAGCCGGUGGAUACUGUCGGGCUAGAGUCCGGAAGAGGCGAGUGGAAUUCCUGGUGUAGCGGUGGAAUGCGCAGAUAUCAGGAGGAACACCGAUGGCGAAGGCAGCUCGCUGGGACGGUACUGACGCUGAGGCGCGAAAGCGUGGGGAGCGAACAGG
Molecule: ribosomal RNA, 253 nt
Filed under: uncultured bacterium
Lineage: Bacteria
Description: partial 16S ribosomal RNA
Rfam family: Bacterial small subunit ribosomal RNA
Source: RNAcentral